Molecule: RNA transcript, 1358 nt
Organism: Ricinus communis (castor bean)
Lineage: Eukaryota; Viridiplantae; Streptophyta; Magnoliopsida; Malpighiales; Euphorbiaceae
Gene name: B3 domain-containing transcription factor VRN1-like
Exons: 3
Source: RefSeq, a predicted model, not a curated record
UCCCCAUAUAUAUACACAGCAGCUACAUUUGGAUAGCUCUUCGGCACCGGCGCCGGUCAGUCGAAUGCACUCAAAGGCAACAUGGGCAGUCAGAUAUCAAGGGGACCAGAAUGUCUGUACCAGUUAAGUUCUUGAAGCCUGUGAGCAGACGUACCAUUGAAGAGAAGAAGCUGAGGCUUCCGUCACGGCUUAUUAGAAAUUUUGGCAAUGAACUUACCAGUGAGGUUGCCAUUCUUGGUUUCUCUAAUGGAUUCUUUAUGCGAGUGAGAUUAUCAGAGGCCAAUGGAAAAGUUUGGAUUGACACUACUAAAUUGGUGAAGCAUUUUCAUAUUCGCGAAGGGUUCAUUUUAGAAUUUACAUAUAAAGUUUUCUGCAAUUUCUCUUCUAAAUAUUUUCAAAUUGAAUAUCCAUAUGAUAAUGCUAGUAGUACUAGUGAUGAGGAACAUUCAAGCAGUAAGCAGUGCCCUCUGCAUCAUGAUGAUGUAGAAAGUGGUGACGAUGAUUCUGUCGAGAACAAUGGUUCCACUCCUGAUCCACCUAAGGGUCAGUCAAGUCGAAGACGAGUAACCAUCUCAAAGAAAAAUUUGCGCAAGUCUUCUGCUAGUGUUGGUCUAACACAACAGUCUAACGGAUAACAACCACGGAAAGAAGCAAAACCAGUAACGAAACGCCUAGAAGAGCCAGGAAAAGAAGCAAAACCAAAUAUUCCAAGUGAAUUUUCUAAGAAGUACAUGAACAAGGUUCAAAUUACACUAGUGGCGCGUGAUAGAACAGAAUGGCGUCUGAAGAUAAGAGUCAGACAACUUAGAUACUUGAGUUUUGGGAAUGGCUGGAAUUUCUUUUCCAAACAGAGUCACUUGAAGGAAGGAGACGUCUGUCUCUUUUAGCUUAUCAGAUAAGGACUUUACCCUGAAAGUAUCAGUAUUUCCUAGCUAAGUCCUCAGAGUAAAGUUCUGUGAAAUGCUUGAAAUGUGUAGGUUUUACAUUUUGGUAGCUGAUGUUUAAUUCUGCUAAGUUGAUGCUGAUGGCAAAAUUCUGGAUAAACUUCUAAUGGGAACCUCCAAUGAACUGCAUGUUUCAGUAUCUGAGUGUUGAUAUUGUAUUCCGUCGGCUAAUUGCAUUCAAAGCAUAUCAUAGAUCAUACUCUUGCACUGCUAUUUCAAGCAUCUGAAACUAGAAGCUGUUGGCUAUGAUCAAAAGAUUUGUCAAAGGGGAGGACAUGCCUGUGCAUGCAUGCAAAUUGCAACGUAGGAAUUUUGUAGAACCAUUAAUAUUUCCUCUGUAGACAUGAUUAACCAUCUUGAUUCUCUUUUAAAAUAAUUACCAAAAUAGGCAAAUCAAAGCUGAAAUUUGGCAUC